GGGUCAGUAGGUUGGUCGUGCCACCGGUACGUACUGGUCUCACUGAUUCCUCCUUCCUCUAGAACCGUAAUGCCAUUAAUUUGGUGUUGCGGGGAAACAGGACUGUUACUUUGAAAAAAUUAUAGUGUUUAAAGCAAGCUAACGCUUGAAUACAUUAGCAUGGAAUAAUGAAAUAGGACGAUCGAUCCUAUUUUGUUGGUUUCUAGGAUUGACGUA
This 216-nucleotide ribosomal RNA is filed under the name Glomeromycotina sp. Its description in RNAcentral is "partial small subunit ribosomal RNA". The stretch from base 40 to 216 matches the Rfam family "Eukaryotic small subunit ribosomal RNA", at positions 686 to 864 of the family's 1831-position model. The record is from RNAcentral. Lineage: Eukaryota; Fungi; Glomeromycota.